This 1025-nucleotide long non-coding RNA is filed under the name Equus caballus (horse). Its description in RNAcentral is "lncRNA (ENSECAG00000045730.1)". Lineage: Eukaryota; Metazoa; Chordata; Mammalia; Perissodactyla; Equidae. The record is from RNAcentral.
CAGACUGACAGUGUCACAACUGUCUAAGUCCAAGUCCACGGCCCCCAGAGACGACGUGAGAGGAGUACAGGCAGGAAGUUCUGGCGGUAAUGAAGAAAAUGGGAUGGAAAGAGGAACAGAUGCUGCUUUAGUGGGAAAUGAAGAGCACCAUGAGCCCUGGUACCUCACUCUGCAAAGGAGAGGCCACAUCCAAAGGACCACGCGCACCUGCCCACUCUUCCCACGGCAGGACUGGUAACACAGAACUCAAGGAGAGGAAGCCAUCUCCAUCCCUGAGUGGAGAAUGUGCAUUUCAGGAAAGCAGCAGGUGACGGGAUCACGCGGCCCCGCGAGGCAGCCUCUGGGAAGGACAGGGAUGCUCCGAAGAAACGCUCAGAGAGUCAGCUCCACAGACAGGCAGCGGACUGGGGACUUAAAUCUGUUGCAAAGGAGGGAGGCGUCGAUGACAGAUGUGGAGGCCUAGGUCCCGGGGGCUGGCGAGAGAUGAAGAGGCGACACGUUCAUCAGUAGGCCUGCACAUGGUCAGCCGAGCAUGCUACAAGGCAUUCAUUAGCACCAGAGAGACGCUGCUUUCCUUCCUACCAGCCUCUUAAAUGGAGGUUGGUGUCCAAUGAAUUUGGCUUAGAGGGAGAUCUCGUUCAAACUUCGAACCUGCUGUACCAACCUGCGCCCUUCAGAAAAUGAGGACGGGAUGGUGAAAUCCUCAACUGGCUAGAGGUAGCAAGCAGGAGGGAUUCCAGGACUGCUCCCUGCUGGACGAAGUCACUGAUUCUGUAAAUGGGCGUGGGAGGCCCAACGAGGGCCAGAGACAGGAGAACUUGGAUCCGUCUUCCGCUGAGACUACACCCUGAUGUUCGUGUGGAUUAGGAAUCGGGACCAUCUUUGUUUACAAAGUCUGCUUAACGCGUUGAAGAGAGGAUGCAGCGAUGUGCUAACCUGCUCAUGCAAAGAACAAAGUCAAAGGCCAGUUGUAACUGUGGGUGGGUUAGCAGUUUAUCUGAGCAGGUGCUGAACAUUUGGAGAAG